GCUUAAUUUCUUACUGAGGAGGGGGCCCUCAAAGAAGGAUGGCGCUAGAAAGGGGAAGGUUACUAGGACCAACGAAGUCAGAAGUGAUAAUGAAUAAGUACCGUGAGGGAAAGGUUAAACCGUUAAGGAAUAGAAAAGUAGAGGUUAAAUCUCGUACCUUUUGAAUCAGGGUUUAUCAAAAAUAGAAGGUGAAAGAACCUUUAUCCCGAAGUUGAAUGAGCGAUAUAAAGGAAGGUUAGGUGUGGUAUAAUCUAAAACAACUAUUUAUAUAGGGAUGAAAUGUUAUUCAAAUUUGACGAUUUCUGGUUUCUUGGGAAACAAAUGAAAUUUGGCCGUUACUGAGAAAAGAAGUAUUGAUCAAGAGCGAGUGCUGCGGUUCAGGAUUACCUGGAUUGUUGAUUUUACAACGAAAAAUUCAGAGGAAAGAGAUGAGGCUUGAAAGUGGCUAUAUUUAAUGUUUUUAAUAAAUGAAACUCGGGGGGGAGACAUUUAUUUUAAGUUUAAAGUAGUACCAAGAUGCUUGGCGAAAUUAUAAGGCCAAGGUAAUCAUGAUGGAAUUAGUAAAAUUUAAUUGUUGGGAAGGUUACGAUUAGUAAUUUGAGGUUAAGGAAUUCGGCAAAGCUAGUUGGUUCAACUGUUUAUCAAAAACAUUGUUUUUUGGUUUCAUGAAAAGUAAGACCUGCACCCUGAACGGGAACGUUUAAAGAGCCGCGGUAUUUUGACCGUGCAAAGGUAGCAUAAUCAAUAGCCUUUUAAUUGGUGGCUGGAAUGAAAGGUUCAAUGUAACCUGGACUGUCUCUACCUCAAUCUUGAAGUUAAUGUUUUUGUUAAAAAGCAAAGAUUCCUUUAGUAGACGAGAAGACCCUAUAGAUUUUGAUUGAUCAGAUCCAAGGGGGCUUUAGGGAAAAGUUUCCAAUGAUUGGAUAAAUUUCGUUGGGGCGACGGGGAAAGAAAAAAAGCUUUCUCUUUUUCAAAUGCCAUAGGCAGGUGCAGGACCCAGGUUGUCUGGUAAAAAGAAAUAAAUACCUUAGGGAUAACAGCGUAAUCAUUUUUGAGAGUUCAAAUCGGCGAAAGGGAUUGCGACCUCGAUGUUGGAUUAAGGAAAAACCCAGGUGCAGAAGUUUGGGAGUUAGGUCUGUUCGACCUUUAGAUCCUUACAUGAUCUGAGUUCAGACCGGCGUAAGCCAGGUCGGUUUCUAUCUUUAAAUUAAAAUCAUUGACUUAGUACGAAAGGACCCGUUAAUGGAAACAUUUUCAAUGGGAGGAAGAACAAAAUUAGGAAAGUAAGUGUUU
This 1293-nucleotide ribosomal RNA is filed under the name Eudohrnia metallica. RNAcentral's name for it is "16S ribosomal RNA". The stretch from base 587 to 1293 matches the Rfam family "Archaeal large subunit ribosomal RNA", at positions 1423 to 2824 of the family's 2987-position model. Lineage: Eukaryota; Metazoa; Arthropoda; Insecta; Dermaptera; Forficulidae. The record is from RNAcentral.